CCCUGUACACUGUACACUGAAUCCUGCAAGACUGGGAUUAAGGGAGUGGGAUGAGCUCUAUAGCCCAGUGAGUAGAAUAAUAAAAUCAGUCAUAAAAUAUGAUCUCAUGGAAUGCGUCAUAACACAGACAAGCCACAUCAAGAGUAAACCUGUCACCACAUAGCCUCAGUAACUUCCGUGCCAGGGCGUAGAAUCGAGCACCUGGUCUUCCUGUCA
Molecule: long non-coding RNA, 216 nt
Filed under: Manihot esculenta (cassava)
Lineage: Eukaryota; Viridiplantae; Streptophyta; Magnoliopsida; Malpighiales; Euphorbiaceae
Description: long non-coding RNA (MESC_LNC007236)
Source: RNAcentral